Molecule: ribosomal RNA, 497 nt
Filed under: uncultured bacterium
Lineage: Bacteria
Description: partial 16S ribosomal RNA
Rfam family: Bacterial small subunit ribosomal RNA
Source: RNAcentral
GACGAACGCUGGCGGCGUGCCUAAUACAUGCAAGUUGAGCGAUGAAGCUUGGUGCUUGCACCAAUUUGAAGAGCAGCGAACGGGUGAGUAACGCGUGGGGAAUCUGCCUUUGAGCGGGGGACAACAUUUGGAAACGAAUGCUAAUACCGCAUAACAACUUUAAACAUAAGUUUUAAGUUUGAAAGAUGCAAUUGCAUCACUCAAAGAUGAUCCCGCGUUGUAUUAGCUAGUUGGUGAGGUAAAGGCUCACCAAGGCGAUGAUACAUAGCCGACCUGAGAGGGUGGUCGGCCACAUUGGGACUGAGACACGGCCCAAACUCCUACGGGAGGCAGCAGUAGGGCAUCUUCGGCAAUGGACGGAAGUCUGACCGAGCAACGCCGCGGGAGUGCAGAAGGUUUUCGGAUCGUAAAACUCUGUUGGUAGAGAAGAACGUUGGUGAGAGUGGAAAGCUCAUCAAGUGACGGUAACUACCCAGAAAGGGACGGCUAACUACGUG